RNAcentral lists this ribosomal RNA (254 nucleotides) under uncultured bacterium. RNAcentral describes it as "partial 16S ribosomal RNA". It matches the Rfam family "Bacterial small subunit ribosomal RNA", at positions 29 to 279 of the family's 1533-position model. The record is from RNAcentral.
AAUUAACGCUGGCAGAGUGCAUAACACAUGCAAGUCGAGCGAAACUAGUCGCAAGAUUAGUUUAGCGGCAGACGAGUGAGUAACACGUAAAGAAUCUACCCUUGAAUGGCGAAUAACCAAUCGAAAGGCUGGCUAAUACGCCGUACUCUCCCUUGAAGGCAUCUUCGAGGGAGGAGAGAUCCGCAAGGAUCGUUCUUGGAGGACUUUGCGGCCCAUCAGCUAGUUGGCGGUGUAAUAGACCACCAAGGCUACGA